This is a small nuclear RNA of Capra hircus (goat), 104 nucleotides long. NCBI's taxonomy places the organism in Eukaryota, Metazoa, Chordata, Mammalia, Artiodactyla, Bovidae. The record is from Ensembl.
GUGCUCGCUUUGGGAGCACAUACACUAAAACUGGAACAAUUCAGAGAUUAGCAUGGCCCCUGAACAAGGAUGACAUGCAAAUUCGUGAAGCGGUCCAUAUUUUU